Esox lucius (northern pike) is the source of this 1306-nucleotide long non-coding RNA. The record is from Ensembl. Lineage: Eukaryota; Metazoa; Chordata; Actinopteri; Esociformes; Esocidae.
AUUGAAGCCGUCGAGCGGUCUGCACCGAUAGAAAAACAAGUUCUCGAGGCCCCACCUCUUAAAUCCGUAAUACUCUACUGGCUGUUGUUCCUGUAAUAGCUGUUGUGCUACGGAAACUCAACUAAACAUUCUAUCUGGCGAGAAAACUGUUUGUUUUUGGUAGAAGGAGCGGACUGUCGCACUAUGGUCUGACUGCUGAUCAAAGCAUUUGGACGGUGAGGAAGAUUCGGGCUAGCAUUGCUGAGAGAGAGCAAAAGCAAGAGCCCAUCUUCACACCAUGUUCUGCUGUUGGCAUUAAGAAAGAGCAGAUGACAACUGCGGCCAUACUGACCCCUGACUUUGAGGAUGACAUUGCUUCUGGUGGUCCAAUGUCACAAUCAGGGACAACAGUGCAAAAGUGCGGUUCCUGAGGUUAAAGGUCACACUGGGUAACUGGCUGGGACUAAUGAACAUGAAACAUAAAGCAAUUAUUCAAUCUAAAUACAUAAACAAUACAUUUUAAAUGAUAAAUGAUAUAAGCCAAGUUUCAGAACACAGGUGUUCUGGUAUUCUCUUAAGAAAAGGUAUAUAUUAAGUAUUUUAUAUCAAAACAUUAUUACAGGCCUCCAAUGCAGUAUGUUCCUUUCAUGCAGUUCCAGCCCAUCCAGUGGGCCCAGACACAGUGGUUAAACUAUUAAGCGGAAAAACCUGCUGUAACUGCCAUUCACACAAGUCUCUGUCCCUGUGAGGAUCAUGUGAAGUGAGUCUUCUCAGACUAGUGUUGAAUCCAGUGGGUCCAAUUGACCUCGGAUCCCAGAUGAUCCUUGUGGCUUCAGGCCUUAUGAAGGCCUUCUCACUAACCCCUCUGACCAGGGAUUGGGAUGGCCCGAUGCCCCUCCUGUUGUUACACUAUUUGAACAGAAAAGUGUCAAUAAAUGCAGAAAACUGAUUGACAUCUGUCUUUUAUUGUGAUCAAUGAUUAUCUUUAUUGUUCCAGUUGAGAAAUGUGUACUGCAUAACUUGUUCAACAAUAAAAAGAAAGUAACAGACAUCCAAACAACAUACACACAAAGGACACAAAUAAUGAACUGAGUAAAAAUAAUGCAACAUGUGAAAUGCUGGUCUCAUGUUUUAUGAGCAGUAAUAAAUGAACCCAGAAAUAUUCCAUAUUCACAAAAAGGUUUUUCCCAGUCUUGAUUAAACUAUGGAUUAGGGAAAAUCAAAAAAUCUGUUUAAUUGAUUUUCUUAUGAACUGUUACUCAUUAAAAUUGUUGAAAUAUUUAUUACAUUCAUAUUUUUGUUCAGUAUAUCUUUGGUUGCAGUCUUA